Ahaetulla prasina is the source of this 480-nucleotide long non-coding RNA. RefSeq lists it as uncharacterized. NCBI's taxonomy places the organism in Eukaryota, Metazoa, Chordata, Lepidosauria, Squamata, Colubridae. The transcript is spliced from 3 exons. The record is from RefSeq and is a predicted model, not a curated record.
AGAUCCCAUCCAGCUGUGCUCAAAGAUGAAAGGGAAACUUCAGUACUGACAGGCCCUUGAAUUAUACCCAAGCACGAAUAGUUUCAAAAGAAAAGAUGACAGCUGAGGGCAUAUAAAUCACACCAGUCUUGCAAGGCAACUGGACACAACCACAUGAUUGUCUGCUGCCUGGUCAAGAGCAACCUUGACCUGUAUGGAAAUAGCUAAAUAGACUGUGUGCCAGAGUAGGAAGAUCAAAGCACAAUUUAAGAAAAUGGGACUUCCCUAUACUAGAUAACUCUGUGUGGAAGUGGUGAAUAAGAGUCCAUAUCAUAUAUGCUACAGUGCAUAUGAUGUCCUUCAACAUGUGUGGAGAAAGAACUCAUGCUGGUGACAGAAAAUGCUGUCAACAUGACCUGAUGUCAUUUAAUUUUAAUUCUGUCUAUUCUACAUACUUUUUACAUGUGCUAUAUUUCAAUGACCUAUUUUAUACCUAUUUUA